CGCGCACACGCUACCUAGCAGCCUUCAGGGCGGACACGCGAACUCUAGAGGCGAGAUCUUUCCCCCAGCCGAACUCACAAAAGGGGGAUCUCACGAUAUCCCGCUAGAGAGGAUCACUCCUCGACAAAUAUCAUGCAAACCUGAUAUAUUAUUUAUAAUUAUAUUGUAUUUUUAGAACUCAAUAUGUAAGCAAUGUCAAAUGAUUAUCUCCACAUCAUUUUCACAUUAUUUAAACAUAUACAUCUACAAUUUCUCAACUAGUUGUAAAUAUUCCAUAUGCCUACUAGCAAUUUACAUUAAUCUUGAAGAGUAGUCUAAACCCACGAAAUUUGUACAAGGUCAAGGACAAUUAAUCAUACAUGCUCGUUGCUUAUGCUUCCGAAUGCACCAGCAAAUACGAUGAAGUUUACAGAGUUCCUCUUAAUGAUGUUUGUCGUUUAACUUAUGCUUCCGAAUGCAGCAAAAAAAUAUGAUGAAAUUUACAGAAUUUUUGUGAACCCUUGCAGUGGAUCCAUGGAAUUUGUUCCCCCAGCUGAUCCAUCAAUGUUUUUCCCCAUAUCCGUUGGAUUUUCCACAUCGAAUACUUUCAGUGAUGUGAAGGUUCCUGGAAUCCGCCCUUUGAAGGAAGGUAGCAACCCUCCAAAGUAUUCGCAGAGGGUUCGUUUGGUUGCUGAUAAUUAUCAAGUGGUUUAACGCUCCAGUAAUUGUUAAUCAAUAUCUUGCUCUUGCCAUGUGCGGCUAAGCAGCCAUGGCAAGGAGAAUGGUUUUGGAUGUACAAAAUGUGUAGACGAGUUUUUCUCCUGUAGCAUGUUUGGCAAGUUGAUUUUUCAUCACCUCU
Non-coding RNA from Oryza sativa Japonica Group (Japanese rice), 838 nucleotides. The record is from RefSeq and is a predicted model, not a curated record. Lineage: Eukaryota; Viridiplantae; Streptophyta; Magnoliopsida; Poales; Poaceae.